GUUUGAUCAUGGCUCAGGAUGAACGCUAGCUACAGGCUUAACACAUGCAAGUCGCGGGGCAGCAUGCCUUGUCCUCGGACGAGGCGAUGGCGACCGGCGCACGGGUGAGUAACGCGUAUCCAACCUUCCCGCGAGCGGGGUAUAGCCCGGCGAAAGUCGGAUUAAUCCCCCAUACCUCCCAUGACGUCCUCGGAGUGGGAGCAAAGGCCUUGGCCGCUUGCGGAUGGGGAUGCGUCCGAUUAGGAAGUAGGCGGGGUAACGGCCCACCUAUCCAUCGAUCGGUAGGGGUUCUGAGAGGAAGGUCCCCCACACUGGUACUGAGACACGGACCAGACUCCUACGGGAGGCAGCAGUGAGGAAUAUUGGUCAAUGGGCGCAGGCCUGAACCAGCCAAGUAGCGUGCAGGACGACGGCCCUACGGGUUGUAAACUGCUUUUAUACGGGAAUAAAGUCCGCCACUUGUGGCGGUUUGCAUGUACCGUUAUGAAUAAGGACCGGCUAAUUCCGUGCCAGCAGCCGCGGUAAUACGGAAGGUCCGGGCGUUAUCCGGAUUUAUUGGGUUUAAAGGGAGCGUAGGCGGCAUGGUAAGCGUGUUGUGAAAUGCGGGUGCUCAACAUCCGGACUGCAGCGCGAACUGCCGUGCUUGAGUGCAUUGAAGGAAGGCGGAAUUCGUGGUGUAGCGGUGAAAUGCUUAGAUAUCACGAGGAACCCCGAUUGCGAAGGCAGCUUUCCGCGCUGUUACUGACGCUGAAGCUCGAAGGUGCGGGUAUCGAACAGGAUUAGAUACCCUGGUAGUCCGCACGGUAAACGAUGGAUGCUCGCUGUCCGGCAUUUAUGCUGGGCGGCUUCGGGAAACCCUUAAGCAUCCCACCUGGGGAGUACGCCGGCAACGGUGAAACUCAAAGGAAUUGACGGGGGCCCGCACAAGCGGAGGAACAUGUGGUUUAAUUCGAUGAUACGCGAGGAACCUUACCCGGGCUUGAACUGCAGAGGACCGGUCCGGAGACGGGCCAUCCCUUCGGGGUCUCUGCGGAGGUGCUGCAUGGUUGUCGUCAGCUCGUGCCGUGAGGUGUCGGCUUAAGUGCCAUAACGAGCGCAACCCCUCUCCCCAGUUGCCAUCGCGUGACGGCGGGCACUCUGGGGACACUGCCACCGCAAGGUGCGAGGAAGGUGGGGACGACGUCAAAUCAGCACGGCCCUUACGUCCGGGGCUACACACGUGUUACAAUGGGUCGUACAGAGAGCUGGCCGCCGGCGACGUCGGCCGAAUCCUGAAAGCGUCCCUCAGUUCGGAUUGGGGUCUGCAACCCGACCCCAUGAAGCUGGAUUCGCUAGUAAUCGCGCAUCAGCCACGGCGCGGUGAAUACGUUCCCGGGCCUUGUACACACCGCCCGUCAAGCCAUGAAAGCCGGGGGCGCCUGAAGUCCGUUCCCUCGCGGGUCGGCCUAGGGUGAAACUGGUGAUUGGGGCUAAGUCGUAACAAGGUAAC
This 1489-nucleotide ribosomal RNA is filed under the name rumen bacterium NK3B31. RNAcentral's name for it is "bacterial SSU rRNA". It matches the Rfam family "Bacterial small subunit ribosomal RNA". The record is from RNAcentral.